RNAcentral lists this ribosomal RNA (533 nucleotides) under uncultured bacterium. RNAcentral's name for it is "partial 16S ribosomal RNA". It matches the Rfam family "Bacterial small subunit ribosomal RNA", at positions 355 to 902 of the family's 1533-position model. The record is from RNAcentral.
UGGGGAAUAUUGCACAAUGGGCGGAAGCCUGAUGCAGCAACGCCGCGUGAGUGAUGAAGGCCUUCGGGUUGUAAAGCUCUGUCUUUUGGGACGAUAAUGACGGUACCAAAGGAGGAAGCCACGGCUAACUACGUGCCAGCAGCCGCGGUAAUACGUAGGUGGCAAGCGUUGUCCGGAUUUACUGGGCGUAAAGGAUGCGUAGGCGGACUUUUAAGUGAGAUGUGAAAUACCCGGGCUUAACUUGGGUGCUGCAUUUCAAACUGGGAAUCUAGAGUGCGGGAGAGGAGAAUGGAAUUCCUAGUGUAGCGGUGAAAUGCGUAGAGAUUAGGAAGAACACCAGUGGCGAAGGCGAUUCUCUGGACCGUAACUGACGCUGAGGCAUGAAAAGCGUGGGUAGCAAACAGGAUUAGAUACCCUGGUAGUCCACGCCGUAAACGAUGAGUACUAGGUGUAGGAGGUAUCGACCCCUUCUGUGCCGCAGUUAACACAAUAAGUACUCCGCCUGGGAAGUACGAUCGCAAGAUUAAAAACUU